CGAUACGAGUUUGAUCCUGGCUCAGGAUGAACGCUAGCGGCAGGCCUAACACAUGCAAGUCGAGGGGCAGCAGGGGUAGCAAUACCCGCUGGCGACCGGCGCACGGGUGAGUAACGCGUAUGCAACCUACCCUCCGCAGGGGGAUAGCCCGCCGAAAGGCGGAUUAAUACCCCAUCGUCCCGGUGAACGGCAUCGUUUACCGGGUAAAGGAGCAAUCCGGCGGAGGAUGGGCAUGCGUGCCAUUAGCUAGUUGGCGGGGUAACAGCCCACCAAGGCGACGAUGGCUCGGGGGUCUGAGAGGAUGGUCCCCCCACACUGGUACUGAGACACGGACCAGACUCCUACGGGAGGCAGCAGUGAGGAAUAUUGGUCAAUGGGCGAAAGCCUGAACCAGCCAUGCCGCGUGCAGGAAGACGGCCCUACGGGUUGUAAACUGCUUUUCCGGGGGAAGAAUAAGGGCGAUACGUCGUCCGAUGCCGGUACCCGGGAAUAAGGAUCGGCUAACUCCGUG
This 511-nucleotide ribosomal RNA is filed under the name uncultured bacterium. RNAcentral describes it as "bacterial SSU rRNA". It matches the Rfam family "Bacterial small subunit ribosomal RNA", at positions 1 to 507 of the family's 1533-position model. The record is from RNAcentral.